This 162-nucleotide small nuclear RNA is filed under the name Penaeus japonicus. Its description in RNAcentral is "U1 spliceosomal RNA". It matches the Rfam family "U1 spliceosomal RNA". From Rfam's summary of the family: U1 is a small nuclear RNA (snRNA) component of the spliceosome (involved in pre-mRNA splicing). Its 5' end forms complementary base pairs with the 5' splice junction, thus defining the 5' donor site of an intron. Lineage: Eukaryota; Metazoa; Arthropoda; Malacostraca; Decapoda; Penaeidae. The record is from RNAcentral.
AUACUUACCUGGCACAGGAGAUACCGUGAUCACGAAGGCGGUUCUCCCAGGGCGAGGCUCACCAUUGCACUCCGGUGGCGCUGACCCCUGCGAUUAACCCAAAUGUGGUUAACUCGAGUGUGCAAUUUUUGGUAGUGGGGACUGCGUUCGCGCUAACCCCUU